GCACCCGUAGUUCAAUGGAUAGAAUAAUGGUUUCCGGUACCAUCGAUAGGGGUUCGAAUCCCUUCGGGUGCA
RNAcentral lists this transfer RNA (72 nucleotides) under Dyadobacter sp. RNAcentral describes it as "tRNA-Arg". It matches the Rfam family "tRNA". Rfam says of the family: Transfer RNA (tRNA) molecules are approximately 80 nucleotides in length. RNAcentral also lists the same sequence under 1 other name. The record is from RNAcentral. Lineage: Bacteria; Pseudomonadati; Bacteroidota; Cytophagia; Cytophagales; Spirosomataceae.